CAGUCGCCACGGUAAUACGGAGGAUCCAAGCGUUAUCCGGAAUUAUUGGGUUUAAAGGGUCCGUAGGCGGUCUUGUAAGUCAGUGGUGAAAGCCCAUCGCUCAACGGUGGAACGGCCAUUGAUACUGCAGGACUUGAAUUAUUGGGAAGUAACUAGAAUAUGUAGUGUAGCGGUGAAAUGCUUAGAGAUUACAUGGAAUACCAAUUGCGAAGGCAGGUUACUACCAAUUGAUUGACGCUGAUGGACGAAAGCGUGGGUAGCGAACAGGAUUAGAUACCCGAGUAGUCCCUGUCUCUUAUAC
Molecule: ribosomal RNA, 301 nt
Filed under: uncultured bacterium
Lineage: Bacteria
Description: partial 16S ribosomal RNA
Rfam family: Bacterial small subunit ribosomal RNA
Source: RNAcentral